GGUCACUGAGCAAGCAAACAGUUCUUGCUCCUUCCAUUCUACCAGAUGAGCCACAAAAAAGGACAGAUCAACAAAGCAGCCAUGAUAGGGAAUUUAUCUGAAUUUCAAGAAUCACAAACAGACCCUGUUUCUGAAGACAAGCUUCACUGGGAACUCGAAUAUGUAUAAGAAGCUGUCCAGUUUUCCCAGCACCAGCACUUUGUUGAAGAGACUGUCUUUCCAACGUUGGAUAAUUUUAUAUGCAACAUUAUCAAGUAUCCCUGAUAGAGGAGAAUUUCCAUUUUGAUUAGAUG
Bubalus bubalis (water buffalo) is the source of this 293-nucleotide long non-coding RNA. RefSeq lists it as uncharacterized. The transcript is spliced from 3 exons. NCBI's taxonomy places the organism in Eukaryota, Metazoa, Chordata, Mammalia, Artiodactyla, Bovidae. The record is from RefSeq and is a predicted model, not a curated record.